GGAGUUACAGCUCAGUGACAGAGUGCUUGCCUAGAAUGUGCAAGGCCCUGGGUUCAAUUCCCAGUCCA
RNAcentral lists this transfer RNA (68 nucleotides) under Marmota monax (woodchuck). RNAcentral's name for it is "tRNA.Ser". Lineage: Eukaryota; Metazoa; Chordata; Mammalia; Rodentia; Sciuridae. The record is from RNAcentral.